GAGGGUAUAGCUCAGUGGUAGAGCAUAUGCUUAGCAUGCAUGAGGUCCAAGGUUCAAUUCCCAGUACCUCCA
Molecule: transfer RNA, 72 nt
Filed under: Camelus bactrianus (Bactrian camel)
Lineage: Eukaryota; Metazoa; Chordata; Mammalia; Artiodactyla; Camelidae
Also listed under: 2 other names
Rfam family: tRNA
About the family: Transfer RNA (tRNA) molecules are approximately 80 nucleotides in length.
Source: Rfam by way of RNAcentral